Molecule: non-coding RNA, 31 nt
Filed under: Rattus norvegicus (Norway rat)
Lineage: Eukaryota; Metazoa; Chordata; Mammalia; Rodentia; Muridae
Source: RNAcentral
AAGGAAGAUAUAUAUGCAUAAUGUAUUAUGU